AUUCAUUUUUUUUCCUAUGGGGAACUCUCUUUUUCUUCAAUGACUACUUUCUUCAGUUAUCACAGAAGGUGUACCUCAUAGGAAGUCAGGAGACAGAAGUCAGGCUUCUUAAGAUAGAAAUAGCAUGUGACAAGUUGGUGGUAGAACCGUGGGAAAGCAUGCUGUAAUAAUAUACAACUUUGAGAAGUUUGUCUCAGUAUGUGUUCUUAUUGCUGCUCUAGCCUACUGUGUAUGCCAGGAUGCAGCGGAGCGGGGACUUGAACACCUGCUUCAGAGGAAGUGAUGUUCAAAUGAGGGUCAUAGGAAAGAGAAAAGUCUUCACAAAACAUGAUGCUACAUUAGCUUAGGCUGGAUCCUGGUCCUUCCCACAGCUGUGUUGGUGGCAUUUGACCUAGAUGCAACGCUGUGACAAGCCUGACUCUGCCAUGGCAGUGUGAAUCUACCCUUAAAUCUUUCUUAACAGGCUCCUUGCUCCUUCUAGCAUCUGCUUCCUUCGAGAUCCAUGUAUUGGUACUUCUAUCCUAGCUACAUGAACUGACCCUCUGACUUCUGCAGCUUGAAAAUUUGUCUUGGAAAUUGGAACCCUGGACUGGACCUUGACCUCAGUGAAUCAAGCCAUAGUGGUGGAACAUAGACAUGACACUUUUGAUUGCAUAAUGUAUACACAGAUGUGAAGAAGAAUGGAUGUGGGUCACUGUGGAGCUGUGUCUUCUGCUUAAGACGAUGAAUGAACCAUGCCUCAUGCUGCAGUCCAGAAAAGGAGUCCCCAGACAAGAAAAGACAUCUGUUUACCUCUACACUAGCUUUUGUGCAGUAUCCAUUUUACUGCUUUGUUAAACCAGGGCCUCCAAAUCUUCACAGAAGACACUUAGACGUAUCCCACAACUGUAUCCUUCAGGGCAACUGAACAUGAAAAGAGGAUUUGUACAGAUGAGGUAUGGCUCAAAUUUUGUAGGAGACAGCCACUAGAAUGGCAAAGGGAGAGAAGCUAUAAAAAAUUCAGCAGCCACGAUUCUACACACACAUCCUCUGCUCUGUACCAAAGAGAAUAUUCAGAGUUGCUAUAAAAUAUACAAGUCAGAUUCUGAGUUGGUGCACUUAUCCACGCCUAAGAAUCUGAGAUAACUAAUUACGCAAUAACCCGGAGUGCAUUUCUCUUGUACGUAAAGGGAAUCACAGUUAAAGAACAAAAGCAAACAUUUGCUGAAUUCACGACCAAGACCUACAUCAGGCUUCAUGCUGAAGCUCGAAACCCUGCAAUUUGAACAUCACAAAGCCAGAGGUAUAGUUACUGGAUUUUCUUUGAAGUGUCUUCACAUAGAUACAAGUUGGAAUCCACCCAUAAAUAUAAAGAAAUGUGAAAACAGCAUUGCCACAAAUAACAGAUGUUUUCCUUCCACUGCCAGCACGCUCAAGGUAAAGGUUAAUUUAUUUUUAUUUAUUUUUUUGGUCCAAAACCAACCAAACAAACAAACUGAAAUCCAAGAAAGACAAACAACAUGGUUAGGAGCUAAGCCUUCCAACAGGUGAAAUUGCUGUUAAUGCAUUCGAUAAAUUAUUCCCUUGUCUCAUGGGAAAACCAGAUGGUUCAGGUGGGAACCAACACUGUGUUUUGGAAGUCCUUGUACAUUGUAUUUUUGAAUAUAAAAGAUAACCUGAAAUCUAUCCAUGCUUAUGAAAAGAGAAAAGAAAAAUAAGGAAAAGAACCAUAGGAAGAUUAUCAGGCACGGGAAGGUGCCAUACAGAAAGGCGAUGUUGAGCUGGAGAAGGAUCUGACAGACAGAACAUCACAACUUUUCAUCCAUCUCACUGCUGCUGUUUAUAGUUUCAAAGGGUAGCAGAAGCUCAUGCAUUAAGGAUAGCGAUGGAAAACAAAUGGAGUGAGAAGCCUACUUAACAUGGCUUUACACGGUGGUUCUUUUAGAGAAAAGAAAAUUAAAAAGAGAACUUCUCUCUUCUAGCUAGUGCAUUUGUUAGGGAAAAAUGUUAAAGUGAGUCAUUUGCAGUCAAAAUGAACCAAUAGGAGAUCGAUCUCCCUAGGUGUGCUUGCUGGUGGCUCACCCUCCACACACUGCAAUGAUGCAGGGUCUGGCUGAAGCGAUAGCUAAUUGAGGAUUGUUCCUUCUGUCUUUUAGUUUAAAUCCAAUCCUUGGACAUGAAAACUUUCAAAGACAAAGAGCUACAUUAAUUUAGUAAUUCCAGAGUGUUUAAUACAUCUGCCACUGUCUGGUGGUUUUCUUCAUUUUCAACCACUUGACAGCUACUGUGAUCACAAGUUUCAGAGAAUCUAUUUCCCUGUGUAAAAUUAACAGCAAUAAAGCAAGCUAAAUGGAAUAUGACCAAAUCAGAGAGUUCUCAUAUUGCAGGACUUCAAAGAAUCCUAGAAGUACUGUGGUGCAGACUUGUGUUCUAAUCAUGAAUGCAAACGCUGCUCUGAACCAGAGGUCUGUCACUUACUACCAAGACAGAUGUCAUGGACACUCAUUUACAGAUGUCAACAGAAUUGCCCAUCACCAAAGACAGCCUUGUGCAGAUCACACUCUCCAUGCUCAAAGCAUGGGACUUUUCUCUUCCUUUAAACGGAGGACAUUUGUACGGAAUACGGUAGGCUCUUCUUGAUAAUUUUUCUUUUCUAAUGGUUUUCCCCUCCCUGUGUGUAUUUUUAAGGGGGAAAGAAAGCAAAGGGCAGCAAAAGCAGCCUUAAGUGCUUGGCAAAUGAUCUUCCUGAAUCUGGACCUCAUAAAUCCUGUAAAAUUGUUAUAUUUCAACAAUAGGCUGGAAAAGCUUUUCUCUGCAAUGAUGAAGCCCAGCUUCAAAAUUUAUGGUUUCAUUUCAGAAAUGGACUAUAAAAAGAGACUGACUUAGCUGUCUAUCAACUAAGCCUGACAAUAGCAAAUAAGGUGUGAGCUUUCAAUGUCAAAUAGAUAUUUAAUAUUAAAAUUCUCAGAUUAAACAUUGCAAAGGGGUCUCCUGUGCAGCGCACGCUGAUGAGAAGGGUGAUAGAUGGAGGGUGGGUUGUCAUAGCAAUGUCCAGACCCUGAAGUGACAUUUCUCUCAGUAUCUACUUUUUUUUUUUUUUAAUACUCUGCUCAAAAGGAUGCUAUUCUAUUGGAGGGAAGGGUGAGUCAAUUAAACAAGAUCUAAGCAGAUCUGGCUUGGUUCAGCACAUAAAAAGCCCAAGUGUGCCAUCGCUCACUCUUUUUGUCAAGGAGGUUAUGAAAACCUGCAUCCUAAUACAUCUUGAUAAAUUCACAUAGAUCUGUUGAAUGGUGGCAAAGAGAAAUUUACUCCAGAAUCCAGUCUCUGGAUGGACCACUGAGGCAGAAUAAGAACUUCAAGUGGUAACUAUGAAAGGCAUUAGUGUCUAUCAUAACUCUUAAACC
Mus musculus (house mouse) is the source of this 3383-nucleotide long non-coding RNA. RefSeq annotates it as predicted gene, 34881. The transcript is spliced from 3 exons. Lineage: Eukaryota; Metazoa; Chordata; Mammalia; Rodentia; Muridae. The record is from RefSeq and is a predicted model, not a curated record.